Molecule: ribosomal RNA, 497 nt
Filed under: uncultured bacterium
Lineage: Bacteria
Description: partial 16S ribosomal RNA
Rfam family: Bacterial small subunit ribosomal RNA
Source: RNAcentral
GAUGAACGCUGGCGGCGUGCUUAACACAUGCAAGUCGAACGAAGCACUUUAAUCGAUUUCUUCGGAUUGAAAUUUUAGUGACUGAGUGGCGGACGGGUGAGUAACGCGUGGGUAACCUGCCUCACACAGGGGGAUAACAGUUGGAAACGGCUGCUAAUACCGCAUAAGCGCACAGUACCGCAUGGUACGGUGUGAAAAACUCCGGUGGUGUGAGAUGGACCCGCGUCUGAUUAGCUAGUUGGCGGGGCAGCGGCCUACCAAGGCGACGAUCAGUAGCCGACCUGAGAGGGUGACCGGCCACAUUGGGACUGAGACACGGCCCAAACUCCUACGGGAGGCAGCAGUGGGGAAUAUUGCACAAUGGGGGAAACCCUGAUGCAGCGACGCCGCGUGAGCGAAGAAGUAUUUCGGUAUGUAAAGCUCUAUCAGCAGGGAAGAAGAAAUGACGGUACCUGACUAAGAAGCACCGGCUAAAUACGUGCCAGCAGCCGCCGUAA